Molecule: small RNA, 89 nt
Filed under: Salix viminalis (osier)
Lineage: Eukaryota; Viridiplantae; Streptophyta; Magnoliopsida; Malpighiales; Salicaceae
Source: RNAcentral
AAUCUUGUGUAGAUUAGUAAAAAUUUGAACAGACUUCAGUUUUGAAUCUUCAACAAUGAGCGAUGGACUUGCUCAAUGCACCAAAGUUU